RNAcentral lists this transfer RNA (74 nucleotides) under Ovis aries (sheep). It matches the Rfam family "tRNA". From Rfam's summary of the family: Transfer RNA (tRNA) molecules are approximately 80 nucleotides in length. The record is from Rfam by way of RNAcentral. Lineage: Eukaryota; Metazoa; Chordata; Mammalia; Artiodactyla; Bovidae.
UCCCUGUCAGUCCAGUUGGUUAGGGCUCUGCACUUUCACUGCCAAGGGCCCAGGUUCAAUUCCUAGUCAGGGAA